This 253-nucleotide ribosomal RNA is filed under the name uncultured bacterium. Its description in RNAcentral is "partial 16S ribosomal RNA". It matches the Rfam family "Bacterial small subunit ribosomal RNA", at positions 524 to 776 of the family's 1533-position model. The record is from RNAcentral.
UACAGAGGUCUCAAGCGUUGUUCGGAUUCAUUGGGCGUAAAGGGCGCGUAGGCUGCGGGGCAAGUCGGGUGUGAAAUCUCCGGGCUCAACCCGGAAAUGGCAUUGGAUACUAUUUGACUAGAGGGUUGGAGGGGGGACUGGAAUACUUGGUGUAGCAGUGAAAUGCGUAGAUAUCCGGAGGAACACCAGUGGCGAAGGCGACUUUCUGGCCUGUUCUUGACGCUGAGGCGCGAAAGCUAGGGGAGCAAACGGG